RNAcentral lists this ribosomal RNA (253 nucleotides) under uncultured archaeon. RNAcentral's name for it is "partial 16S ribosomal RNA". It matches the Rfam family "Archaeal small subunit ribosomal RNA", at positions 474 to 726 of the family's 1478-position model. The record is from RNAcentral.
CACCGGCGCCCCAAGUGGCACUCGCGAUUAUUGGGCCUAAAGCGUCCGUAGCCUGAUGAGUAAAUCCUCUGUGAAAUUGUACUGCUUAACGGUACAGCGCGCAGGGGACACUGCUCGUCUCGGGACCGGGAGGGGUCAGAGGUAUGCCGCAGGGACCGGUAAAAUGGGAUAAUCUGCGGUAGACCACCAAUGGCGAAGGCAUCUGACCAGAACGGAUCCGACGGUGAGGGACGAAAGCCAGGGGAGCGAACCG